Molecule: long non-coding RNA, 938 nt
Filed under: Brassica napus (rape)
Lineage: Eukaryota; Viridiplantae; Streptophyta; Magnoliopsida; Brassicales; Brassicaceae
Description: long non-coding RNA (BNAP_LNC009039)
Source: RNAcentral
AAACAUCAAUUCUAAACCCUAAAUCAUCAACUUUAAACCCUAAACCAUCAAACAUCAACUCUAAUUCCUAAACCUUAAAACAUCAAGUCUAAACCCUAAACCCUAAAACUAAACUUGAAACAUCAAUUUUAUCCCCUAAACCUUAAAUCUAAACUUAAAACAUCAACUCUAAACUCUAAACCUUCAACUCUAAACCUUAAAACAUCAACGCUAAACCCUAAACCCUGAAACAUCAACUCUAAACCCUAAACCCUAAACUUUCAAAUCUAAAUCCUAAAACAUCAACUCUAAACCCUAAACCCUAAACUUUCAAAUCUUAACCCUAAAACAUCAACUCUAAACCCUAAACGUAUACCUUAAACCCUAUAUUUUUCUGAAAUUCGAACACUAAACCCUAACACUGUAAACCUUCAAAUCUAUACCCUAAAACAUCAACUCUAAACCCUAAACGUAAAACCCUAAACCCUAAAACCCUAAACCUUCAAAUCUAAACCCCAAAACAUAAACUCUAGGGUUUUAGGGUUUAGGGUUUAGGAAUUAGAAUUUAGGGUUUAGGGUUUAGAGUUAAAGGUUUAGGGUUUAUGGUUUAGAGUUGAUGUUUUAGGGUUUAGGGUUAAUUUCUUAGGGUUUAGGAUUUAGAGUUUACUUUUUAGGGUUUAGAAUUUAGUGUUGAUAGUUUAGGGUUUAGUGUUGAUGGUUUAGGGUUUAGAGUUGAAGUUUAGGGUUUAGAGUUGAUGUUUUAGGGUUUAGAGUUGAAGGUUUAGAGUUUAGGAGUUAGGGUUUAGAAUUGAUGUUUUGGGGUUUAGGGUUUAGAGUUGAUGUUUCAGGGUUUAGGGUUCGUAUUUCAAAAAAAGGGGUUUAUCAUUGAUGGUUUAAGGUUUAGGGUUCGUAUUUCAAGAAAGAAAAGGGUUUAGGAUUGAUGGUUUAGGGUUUAGAGU